Canis lupus familiaris (dog) is the source of this 2037-nucleotide long non-coding RNA. RefSeq lists it as uncharacterized. The transcript has 9 exons. The record is from RefSeq and is a predicted model, not a curated record. Lineage: Eukaryota; Metazoa; Chordata; Mammalia; Carnivora; Canidae.
GCGGGCUGGGAGCUCCCCCACUCGCCCGGACCGGGUUUGCCCGGAGGGUUGAGGGAGGAAGCGGCAGAGACCGCCGGGCCGAACCGCGGAUCUCGCGCCGGCUGGCUGUGGCGGCCAGGAGCCGCCUGGGAGAUCCCCGCGGUGAGACCUGUGAGGAGGACAAACGAGGCGAAGCCGCGAGUGCUGAGAGCCUUCCCUAGGACGCAAAAUUUAUGCUCCAGGAAACCCUCUACCCUCUCGGCUCCGAGGUUAGAGCCGCAAUUUGUGAGACUUUAAACAUGAAAUAUAAAGUUUGAAUCCAGAGUUGCCACGAGACCGGGCGUCCCAACCCCCGCCUCUCCCGGUUUGCGCCGCCCUUUUGGCUCGUCCCGAGGCUUCUGGAGAAGAACUUCCAGAUUCCUCUAUAAAAGUAAAGAUGAAAUAAGUGGAGAGUUGAGAAACGUGUACUCGAGCCUCCUGCCGCGCCACAUUCCCCCAGUUUAGAGCUGGGGACAGGGUGCAGCGACACCACGGGCCUCCCCCUCGUGAAGGUCGUGAAGGGCCUUUGCUGCUGGGCACAGGCGCUUCUUCUCCUCUCUGGGGUCUAGACUCAUUUCAACAAAUCUUUCCUGGGCAUUUUCUUGGCACCAGACACUGUGCGAGGGGCCGGACACGCGACUUCUUAAAAGACCUCCCCAACGGGGUGGUUGCAAUCUAAUCCGGGGGACAGCGACGUGCAAAAACCACGUUUGAAAGCAAUGGCUGCUAGAAUAGACUCCAAGUGCUGGGGUGUAAAUAGAGCAGAGCGACACUGCGUCUGCAAAGGGGCUGGGGGACGCUUUCCUGAAGGCCCUAGAGUUUGAGCUGGACCCUGAAACCUGGGAAGGCGGAGACUGCACUGGACCUUGAAACGUGGGAAGGUUUUAGAGGGUGUGACCAAAGGAGCCCAGUGGGCAAAGUCCAGGCCGAGGGCGAGGGCAGUGAGAAGGCUCAGGGUAAGCGAAGAAAAAGAACACGGGUCGCGGCAGACGCCCGGGAUGUGUGGGCGGGGCGGCCCCACUGAACAUUUAAACCCCAAAGGAUCUUCAGAAACACCCUAUGAAGUUUGAACUUGAGUCUGUGUGAGCAGUGAGUAGCCCAUCCCCAGUGAAGUGCCAAUGCAAGAGACUUGAGUCGUCCUUAUGCUAGAUUCAUUUAUGUUGAAAUGGCGGGCCAUGGCAGCGGCAGACCUCAAUUUAUGGGUUCAAGAUGAUAGGCUCUGGUGUGUGAUUAGAAGUUAUAUUAAUAAGAGAAGGAAGACAGGCUGGUCAAGGACCAGCUCCCCCCGCCCUUGUUUGUAUCAGAUCUUUAUUGUGGUUGACUCUAGUUUCAUAACACUGUGGUCAGAGAAGAUACAUGGAUUACCCACUUGGCCCUAACCUGUGACAGCUCUGGAGCUGCUAUAACAGACUUGCAUCCAACCCCCAUGUCGUGUGAUAACUGCUCCAGAUUCGGAAGGCACAGGGGCAAGACCUACAUCCGUCCACCCGUGUGUUGGAAAUAGGUUUGCCAGAUUCAGCAAAUACAAAUACAGGAUUCCCAGUUACAUUUGAAUUUCACAUAAGCAAAAGUCACCCACACCUUCUGCCUGACAUUGAGCACAAAUAUUUGGAACUGUGGCAAAUCAUCUGCUGAUACUACUUGGACAUGAAAGCAUGUGAAAAAAAUCAGCAUUGUGUCUACAUGAGAUGGGAAAACAGAGACCGAUGGAACUUGCCUUAGAGGAAGAUGGACAAAUGGAUUGGACAGUACAAGUAGAAGUUGACCCUCAUUUUCAACAUCCUCCACUGCCACGGACAGCGAGGACUGCCGGUACUUAGUGAUGACUAGAUCUGGGCCUUGACGUUGGAAGUGCAUAGAAAAAACUGGAAGAAAAGAUGUCAAAGUGUUAUUAAGAUCCAAAGGGGCACAUGCACCACAAUGUUCAUAGCAGCAUAGUCCACAAUAGCCAAACAAGAGCUGAGAUGGCCACUGAAUGGAUAAAGAAGAUGUGGUGUAUUGGGCAGCCUGGGUAGCUCA